CGCGCGCGUACGGAACUGCUGCUAGAGCCCGGCGGCGCCGGUCUCCAGCUCAGAAGGUGCCGCAGGGAAUUCGCAAACACUAACGGUAACCAGGGCAGCCGAAGGCGCGGCGGUGAGGGAAGGCGCGCUGCGCAUGCGCGCAGGACGCUGCGUUAGGGGAGCGGAGUGGAGAGGCGGGCGACUAAGUUCCCGCGGUGCGGGGGCGCACACGAGAUUUGGCUGCUAGCGAGCGCAGCGCUGCGUGCCUUUGGCGCCGGCCUAACGCAGGCGGCUGAGAACUUGGCGCUUGUUUCUGCGCAGCCUCUUCAGCCCCGCUGCCCGGGAAGAGCGGCGCUCCACCGGUCUCAAACGUUAGCGCGCCAAAGACCGGAACCACCUGGAGUGCUGUGGGAAACUUACUCCGAAGCCACACCCCUAGGUAUUCAGACUGUGAUUCUCGGGUGCGGCUCCACGAAAUCAACGUCCUCGACAGCCGCGGUCGCUGAUUUGGCUGCAGGUGGCCUGUGUGGCCCGCACCUUUGAGAAACCAUGAUGUAUAGGAUUCGUGGCUAGUAGUUCUUGCCCCGGAAAGAAGGCCAGAGUCUCGGGUAUUGAGACUUCCGCCCCGGCUACUCCAGCAAAGCUCCAGAUUUUGAAGCCUAGGGCGGUGUAGUUUCUCAUUUCAGGGUUAGGAGAAUGGGACCAGACUGUAGAGAUCAGAUCCACACCACUCCACACUGCAUCUCUUGCCGCCUGAGAUUACCUUGCUUGCUGUAUCAGGAUGAUUAGUCUUGAUUUCAUAUUCCAGCCUGUAUUGAAUGUAAUCCAGAUCAGAGUCAGCUUUCUGGAACUAAAGAUCAGCACAAAUAACAUUUUGUGAACAAAAGAUAUAUUAAUAAACAUGAUGUACUGUUAA
Molecule: long non-coding RNA, 895 nt
Organism: Canis lupus familiaris (dog)
Lineage: Eukaryota; Metazoa; Chordata; Mammalia; Carnivora; Canidae
Exons: 2
Source: RefSeq, a predicted model, not a curated record